GAUGAAGAACGUAGCGAAAUGCGAUACGUAAUGUGAAUUGCAGAAUUCAGUGAAUCAUCGAGUCUUUGAACGCACAUUGCGCCCCCUGGUAUUCCGGGGGGCAUGCCUGUCCGAGCGUCAUUGCUGCCCUCAAGCACGGCUUGUGUGUUGGGCUCCGCCCCCCUCCCGGGGGGCGGGCCCGAAAGGCAGCGGCGGCACCGCGUCCGGUCCUCGAGCGUAUGGGGCUUUGUCACCCGCUCUGUAGGCCCGGCCGGCGCCCGCCGGCGACCCCAAUCAAUCUUUCCAGGUUGACCUCGGAUCAGGUAGGGAUACCCGCUGAACUUAAGCAUAUCAAUAAGCGGAGGA
RNAcentral lists this unclassified non-coding RNA (345 nucleotides) under soil metagenome. Its description in RNAcentral is "partial contains 5.8S ribosomal RNA, internal transcribed spacer 2, and large subunit ribosomal RNA". The stretch from base 1 to 120 matches the Rfam family "5.8S ribosomal RNA", at positions 35 to 154 of the family's 154-position model. The record is from RNAcentral.